GCAGGGCAAGGGCCCCAGCACCGCCCCAGGCCCAGGCUUUCUGCUGCAGAGCUGAGCACAGCUAGCACAGAAGUAGGCCAGAAGCAAGAGCCCCCGGGAGUUCCCUGAGCUGUGGACAGAAGGGCAGAGGGCACCUGCUGAGCUGGAGAGGCACUAGAGGGUACACCCUGGGCUUGUGCUCAAAGACAGAGGCGCUGUCCAGGCUGAGUCCCCACCUCCAUUACCUGUGGGCAGCUGCGCAGAGGAUGCAUGGCCGCUGCACGGUGGGGACAGCCAGUGCCGAGCUCUUCCACAUGGAGAGGUAGACACUGAGGGUGCACCCCAAGAAGAGGCCUCAAAGAAACUGCAGAUGGGCCUCCAUGCCCCCGCCCCACCACUGCUGCCACCCAGACCCCCUCCACACCAGGAUCUCAUGGGUCUCGGGCCUGGGAGAGCUGGGGGAGAGACUGUAACCUGCACUUUACGGUGUGGAAUCCAGAGUGCCGAGAAGGGGGACCCUGCAAGGUGGCCAGCAAGCAGCACCACGCCUGAACCUUCUCUGUGUAAGUUCAGCUUUCUUUGAGGAGUUUUUAUCCUGAGGAAGAGUCCAGGGCCAUUAGUGGUGACCCGCAUAACACAUGGACCACCACCACCCGUGACUUCCUGAGCGACACUGGGGUCACUCGUCCUCGCCCUGGCACUGGCCUCUCUCUGUACCACUCCAGAGAAGAGCAUUAAAUGCUCUUUGCCUAUGGAUUUCCACAUUCUACUGCCUCUCUCAGGGUAGGGGCAAAGCAGAGGACGUGUGGGACCCAGAUUAAAGGACUCCUCACCCUGCCAGCACUGGCCUGGGAUUCCAGUGGGCAGCCCAGAGCUGCUGAGCACAUGGCACUCGAGACAAGGCUGUUUUAAGAAGUGUUUGCAGCCGAUCACCCUGGUGCCAGAAGGGACUUUGGGGAGUGAAUGCCAUAGGAAGGAGCACGGGCUGUCGCAAGCGAGACUGAUCGGUUCCUGCCUUCCACCAGGUGUGAGCAAGCAGAGACCGUCCCUCAGCUUGGGGGGCCAUGAAGAGCCCCGGAAGAUGGGGGGCGGCUCUUAGGGUCUAAAUCUUAAUUGCUGUGUGAAGAAGGUCACUUAGCUCCCCAGGUCCUUCUUACAAGGGGCCUCUUCUGCCUCUUGGUCCCCAGCUCUCUGGGACUCUCUGCUGGAUCAGCUGAGUGAGGGGCCACAGGGACACAGCGACCCCUCCAUCCCUCUGUGCGCUUAGAAGCCUCUGUCCGGAGUGGAAGGAGCAUCUCCAAAUCCAAGAGGAGCAUCACCAGGAGGUGCACCCACCCAGGUCCCCGCAGCCGACCCAGAGCCACCACCCAGGCUGCAGCAGCCUUCGCCGAGCCCGCUUGUGCUGAGCGCUGUGACUCGAAUGCAUCCCCAGCUGAAUUCCCAGCUGGGCAGUGUUGAGAGGGCGGAGGAAAGAGGCCCAGGCCCCGGGUCUCUGCCCAAGGGGCAGGUUGCUGUGGUUGUCGUUGUUACAAAAAAUCGCUCCUGGGCCCUUCCACGCUCUGCAGUAGGAUGAUGCUGUGUGGAGGCCCUGGCCAGAUGCUGGCCACUGCGUCUUGGGCUGCCCAGGCUGCAGCUGCAAAAAGAGUACAUGACCGCUUUGUGUACAUCACCAGGCUCAGGCACAAACUCCCCGUGAACUGCUGCUGGAAUCUGGACAUUGUGCUGUGGUGGCGUUUGUCCCAAAGCCACUCUAACAGCUUUCCUGGCUCACAGUAGACAGAGUCACCCUGCUAGGCACCGGCAGUAACCAGGAUCAGAGGCCAGGUUGCAGCAGCCAGGGUGGCAGCACGGUCAGCACUCGCCUGGAUCUGUAGCAGGACGGUUGAAUAGAUUGUGACUCCUGGAGGGUCUGAGAGGAGGGUCUGCGUGUCCGGGGUGCCCCUGAGUACGGAGGCCUGGACUAGAGUGACAGCGGGGGCAGGACCUGCUCUGCAGCUGCCCUGGUCUGCACAGCUUCCUGAGCAUCACCUUUGCACACUCAGGGCUUUGCCUGGGGACAUUGAUUCCCAAGUCACAGGGGCGAGCGAGUCCCACGCUGUGCCUGGGCCCCUGCAGUCCUGCACAGCCAGGCCCUGGGCAGGGCUGAGCACGCGGCAAGCCUCCCUCCUGACACAAGGGAGCGGAAGCAGCAGGAGGACCAGGCCUGUCCUCGUUUCUGUCUGUCUCCCCUAUAACCUGCUGAGUGCAGAGGGGCUGUGGGACUUGGCCUAGGCUGGGUGAUGAGGGUCCCUGUGGGCCCAGGGAUGGCUGGACAGGCAGGCUGGCUGCUGCAGUGGGUCAGGGCUGCAGGCUGGGCCAGGCAUCCAGGGACCAGCAGCACCACGUCAGGUUCAGGAGUCCUGACCAGGCUGCUUCCCUGCUAGUAAAGGGAGUGGUGGGUAGGUGUGGCCAGGAGGGGUGACAUUUAGGGCAGGAUUAUAAGUCUGUGUUAAGAGAAAGAGCCUAGACAGGAAGGCUGAGCUAACCUGAUAAUAAUAAUCCUGAUCUCAGUACUGAUCAUAGCCAACGCUUACUGAGUACGCAAAAAUCUCAAACUUCACGCCUUCUGUCUCACUUGAUCACCUGGAGGCAGGUGCUGGCAUCAGCCACAUCUUAGAGACAGUGAGACCUAGACACAGAGAGGUUAAAGUAACCUGACCAACAUCACACAGCAGCUACACAGCUGAACCCUUUGGAUCUGGACCCAGUGAACAUGGGGGAGCAGAGCCCUCCGAACGCAGGGCCACCACACAGCUGACUUCCUGCAGCUCCACCCGGUACCGCCUAAGGCCACAUCCUCAGGGCUGACGGGUGUCAGGGGAAGGCCUUGGCCCGGAAGCCAGCCUGAAACCGGAAGCUGAAUGAAUAACAACCCUGAAUAAAUGUUUGCGAUUAAACUUGAAGGGGAAAA
Molecule: long non-coding RNA, 2929 nt
Organism: Cavia porcellus (domestic guinea pig)
Lineage: Eukaryota; Metazoa; Chordata; Mammalia; Rodentia; Caviidae
Exons: 2
Source: RefSeq, a predicted model, not a curated record